AAGGGGCGGAUGUAGCCAAGUGGAUCAAGGCAGUGGAUUU
This 40-nucleotide transfer RNA is filed under the name Causonis japonica var. japonica. RNAcentral's name for it is "partial tRNA-His". Lineage: Eukaryota; Viridiplantae; Streptophyta; Magnoliopsida; Vitales; Vitaceae. The record is from RNAcentral.